Molecule: ribosomal RNA, 253 nt
Filed under: uncultured bacterium
Lineage: Bacteria
Description: partial 16S ribosomal RNA
Rfam family: Bacterial small subunit ribosomal RNA
Source: RNAcentral
UACAGAGGGUGCAAGCGUUGUCCGGAAUUAUUGGGCGUAAAGAGCUCGUAGGCGGUCUGUCGCGUCUGCUGUGAAAACUCAGGGCUUAACCCUGAGCUUGCAGUGGGUACGGGCAGACUAGAGUGCGGUAGGGGAGACUGGAAUUCCUGGUGUAGCGGUGAAAUGCGCAGAUAUCAGGAGGAACACCGGUGGCGAAGGCGGGUCUCUGGGCCGUAACUGACGCUGAGGAGCGAAAGCAUGGGGAGCGAACAGG